RNAcentral lists this long non-coding RNA (578 nucleotides) under Lathyrus oleraceus (garden pea). RNAcentral's name for it is "Pisum sativum (pea) long non-coding RNA (PSAT_LNC001805)". The record is from RNAcentral. Lineage: Eukaryota; Viridiplantae; Streptophyta; Magnoliopsida; Fabales; Fabaceae.
GAUUCUCUUGAGAUAUUAUUGCCCAACGAGUUUUCGUCACGACGAUAGUAUUCUCAAGUCGGAUCAAUGACUCUAGAGACCUUUUAACCCACUAUAUCCGGCGGUUAUGUAGUAUUUACCUGAAAAGUCCCAGACUUUUUGGGUUAAUAUGAAAGCCCCAAUCAGAUGAGAUCCCUUGGACCUAUUAUUACCUUACAGUAAUAUUUCCAACCUCGAUCUAUGACUUUGAGAACCUUGUUAGAACCUUGGACUCGAGAGUUGUGUAGUAGAAUCCCCAUGGAGUUUUCCUUGUUGGGACAAUACGAAGACCUCACCUAGACGAGAUCAUCUUAAGGAUAUUAUUGUCCGACGAGUCUUCGUCACAGCAGUGACGUCCUCAAGAAAUAUCCAUGGCUUUGGGAACCUACCAACUGUAGAGCCUACCCAUGAGGUUCCAUUAAUCAGAGAUACCUGUCAUUUACCCGUUAUGCUGAUUCAUCUGAGAACACUUUGAACCUCUCAUCCUAAGCAUGUCACUACCUUCAUACACAUAUCAUUGCAUUUGCAUUCAUUAUCAUACAUUUCAUAUCAUUUUCUGC